ACAGGUCUUUUUCGAAUUUCUUGUUACCAGCAUUGCCAUGCUAAUGUAAGAAAGAAAUCCGAUGGCAGCUAAGAUCCCAUUUCAAAUUUCUUCCCCUUGCCUUCUUUGAGAAAUUUGGGGGUAGUUUUGAAAACAGAUCCAAGCGAAAAUCCUUCAAGCUCUUUGCUUAUGGACACCAAACGUCUACAUGCAAAAGAUUAUUGCAAGUCACGAAAACAAUCCUUCAAGCUCUUUGCUUAUGGACACCAAACGUCUACAUGCAAAAGAUUAUUGCAAGUCACGAAAACAAUAGUCAGCAGACGCGUGAUACCUGAUGUUUUUCCUUCCAUCUUGGGAAAAAACUAGUCCCUAGAAGUUG
This 358-nucleotide long non-coding RNA is filed under the name Malus domestica (apple). RNAcentral's name for it is "long non-coding RNA (MDOM_LNC011817)". Lineage: Eukaryota; Viridiplantae; Streptophyta; Magnoliopsida; Rosales; Rosaceae. The record is from RNAcentral.